CCUACGGGAGGCAGCAGUGGGGGAUAUUGGACAAUGGGGGGAACCCUGAUCCAGCGACGCCGCGUGAGUGAAGAAGUAUUUCGGUAUGUAAAGCUCUGUCAGCAGGGAAGAAAGAAAUGACGGUACCUGACCAAGUAGCCCCGGCUAACUACGUGCCAGCAGCCGCGGUAAUACGUAGGGGGCAAGCGUUAUUCGGAAUUACUGGGUGUAAAGGGAGCGUAGACGGUUAAGUAAGUCUGGAGUGAAAACCCAGGGCUCAACCUUGGAACUGCUUUUGAAACUGAGUAGCUAGAGUGCAGGAGAGGUAAGCGGAAUUCCUAGUGUAGCGGUGAAAUGCGUAGAGAUUAGGAGGAACACCAGUGGCGAAGGCGGCUUACUGGACUGUAACUGACGUUGAGGCUCGAAAGCGUGGGGAGCAAACAGGAUUAGAUACCCCAGUAGUC
Molecule: ribosomal RNA, 443 nt
Filed under: uncultured bacterium
Lineage: Bacteria
Description: partial 16S ribosomal RNA
Rfam family: Bacterial small subunit ribosomal RNA
Source: RNAcentral